AAAUAGUGCCAAGGUCAAAUUGCUUGACUGCCAACAUCUGCCCAUGUCAAGACAAAACAUCCCAGGAUACUUUCAUAUUUUGAAAGAGUGAGGCUACCAUCUUAUGACAACAUUUGGAAAUGAUAAAAGGAUAAAGUGAGGACCCCCUGUCUGUUUAUAUUAACACUGUAUAUCCAUAAACAGGAACGAAUCAAUUGAACCCUAUCGAUCUGUCAGAGUAAAACAUUCAUUCUUAGAAAGAUGGUUUGCUAUUAAUCUAUUGACCUAGAGCAAUCAUGACCUAGAGCUUUGAGGCACACAGCCAUGACUUUUUAAUGUGAACAGGAAAACCAUGUAACAGCUUUGAUAUAAAAUAGGCAAGGAUCAAUACUAGAAACAGAUGAAAACUCAGGGCAGCUUUUAGAAAACAUGAAUCUAAUCUCCCAGAAUACUAAAACUGUCAGAAACAGCAGAGAAGGGGUGUUCUACUGCAAUGGAAAUGGUGUCCACCCGCUCAACCUGCUGGUCUGAGGGUGAAACCCAGACAGAGGGGCCACAAACUCCCCAGGCAGGUGCCUAUACACAAACAGACCUCCCAAGGAUAAAAAGAGCUGCUCAGACUCUUAGUUCCAGGCAACUCCAGUCUCUGGAAGUCCCCCGAGUCCUGAAGGCAGAGCUGCGUGUCAUGGGUGCAAGUGUGCCCAGCUGAAUGAACUUCUCAGAAAGGUGGCUCUGUUGCGAGAGGAGCUCAUCAGACUACGUAGCAUCCAAGAAUCUGAGUGGGAGAUUAACAAAUGGUAUUAUGUCCUGACACAGGCCGAGCAACAGCCCUGCAUUAAAUCCUGGCAAGGGGAAGGUAAACAAACUUCCAGCCUUGAACAAACAUAUUUGAAAAUCUCACAGGACGAAGGAAAGUGGACUCUUGUCUUUGCCCAGAGUUGGAGGAGGAGUCCUUGCCCCAAAAGUACCACUGUGCAACAGAUAUGAUGCAAGAGAGAGGAGACUCUCAGAGUAAUAGUAAAGACCUCAGAAAGGCCAACCAUACAAAGUUGGCUCGGUCUCCAACCUAUCUAUAUCAGAACCACUGCCACAAAAAAAAAAAAAAAAAAAAAAAAAAAAAAAAAGGCAUGAAGGGUGUUAGCAAUUGGAGACUCCUCUCUGAGAAGCACUGAGUCCCCCAUUUUCCAUCUGGAUGAUCUCUCCAGAGAGGUUUGCUGCCUGCCUGGGGCCUGCAUUCACAAUAAAGAGGCUACCAAGCCUAGUGGGUCCCAAAGAUUACCACCCCUUCCUACUUUUUCAUGUAGAACCAACAAGAAGACUCUGAAGUAUCAAAAGGGACUUUAUGUCUUUUGGGAAGAUGUUGAAGGCAUCAGGAGAGCAAGAACUGUUCUCUGUCCUCCCGGUUGAUGACUGGGACCCAAGAGGAAGGAGAUGAAUGUACCAAGCAAAUGACUGACUGCAAGGCUGGUGCUAUGCUCAAGGUUUUGGGCUCUACAAUCUUAGAUGCACUUUAGAGAGACCAUGUAUGCCGACACCAGAAGGGGUGCAGCUGACCAGGUGGGACAAGAAUGUUCUGUGCAGUCAGCUGGCUGGAAUUAUCACAUGGGAUUUAUACUAGAUGUGGUGGGGGAAGUGGAUGUACCUCUGAGUGAAGGAAGCAAACCUGGGAACAUCGUCACUCUAAGAAACAAUAGGGAAAUGCUUAUGAAAUGUCCCAAAGUAAUCAGGAAAGGUUGUUCUGGAAAAGCGAUGCAACCAAUAGUUCAGCUGAAGUGCCUUUACACCAACACACAUGGCAUGGGAAACAAGUAGGAGGAGUUGGAAACCAUGGUGCAAUUAGAAAAAUAUGACAAUAAUGCUGUCACAGAAAUGUGGUGGGACGAUCACACAACUAGAACA
Long non-coding RNA from Oxyura jamaicensis (ruddy duck), 1878 nucleotides. RefSeq lists it as uncharacterized. Lineage: Eukaryota; Metazoa; Chordata; Aves; Anseriformes; Anatidae. The transcript has 3 exons. The record is from RefSeq and is a predicted model, not a curated record.